This 426-nucleotide ribosomal RNA is filed under the name uncultured bacterium. RNAcentral describes it as "bacterial SSU rRNA". It matches the Rfam family "Bacterial small subunit ribosomal RNA", at positions 359 to 776 of the family's 1533-position model. The record is from RNAcentral.
GAAUUGUUCGCAAUGGGCGCAAGCCUGACGACGCAACGCCGCGUGGAGGAUGAAGAUCUUCGGGUCGUAAACUCCUUUCGAUCGAGACGAAUGGCUCCUGGGUGAACAAUCCAGGGGAAUGACGGUACCGAGAGAAGAAGCGCCGGCUAACUCCGGGCCAGCAGCCGCGGUAAUACGGGGGGGGCAGGCGUUGUUCGGAAUUACUGGGCGUAAAGGGCUCGUAGGCGGCCAACUAAGUCGGACGUGAAAUCCCUCGGCUCAACCGGGGAACUGCGUCCGAUACUGGCUGGCUUGAAUCCGGGAGAGGGAUGUGGAAUUCCAGGUGUAGCGGUGAAAUGCGUAGAUAUCUGGAGGAACACCGGUGGCGAAGGCGGCAUCCUGGACCGGCAUUGACGCUGAGGAGCGAAAGCCAGGGGAGCAAACGGG